ACGCUGGCGGCAUGCUUUACACAUGCAAGUCGGACGGCAGCACAGAGAAGCUUGCUUCUUGGGUGGCGAGUGGCGAACGGGUGAGUAACAUAUCGGAACGUACCGAGUAAUGGGGGAUAACUAAUCGAAAGAUUAGCUAAUACCGCAUAUUCUCUGAGGAGGAAAGCAGGGGACCUUCGGGCCUUGCGUUAUUCGAGCGGCCGAUAUCUGAUUAGCUAGUUGGUGGGGUAAAGGCCUACCAAGGCGACGAUCAGUAGCGGGUCUGAGAGGAUGAUCCGCCACACUGGGACUGAGACACGGCCCAGACUCCUACGGGAGGCAGCAGUGGGGAAUUUUGGACAAUGGGCGCAAGCCUGAUCCAGCCAUGCCGCGUGUCUGAAGAAGGCCUUCGGGUUGUAAAGGACUUUUGUCAGGGAAGAAAAGGCUGUUGCUAAUACCGACAGUUGAUGACGGUACCUGAAGAAUAAGCACCGGCUAACUACGUGCCAGCAGCCGCGGUAAUACGUAGGGUGCGAGCGUUAAUCGGAAUUACUGGGCGUAAAGCGAGCGCAGACGGUUACUUAAGCAGGAUGUGAAAUCCCCGGGCUCAACCUGGGAACUGCGUUCUGAACUGGGUGACUAGAGUGUGUCAGAGGGAGGUAGAAUACCACGUGUAGCAGUGAAAUGCGUAGAGAUGUGGAGGAAUACCGAUGGCGAAGGCAGCCUCCUGGGAUAACACUGACGUUCAUGCUCGAAAGCGUGGGUAGCAAACAGGAUUAGAUACCCUGGUAGUCCACGCCCUAAACGAUGUCAAUUAGCUGUUGGGCAACUUGAUUGCUUAGUAGCGUAGCUAACGCGUGAAAUUGACCGCCUGGGGAGUACGGUCGCAAGAUUAAAACUCAAAGGAAUUGACGGGGACCCGCACAAGCGGUGGAUGAUGU
This 920-nucleotide ribosomal RNA is filed under the name uncultured bacterium. Its description in RNAcentral is "bacterial SSU rRNA". It matches the Rfam family "Bacterial small subunit ribosomal RNA", at positions 33 to 942 of the family's 1533-position model. The record is from RNAcentral.